Molecule: unclassified non-coding RNA, 13816 nt
Filed under: Leishmania donovani
Lineage: Eukaryota; Euglenozoa; Kinetoplastea; Trypanosomatida; Trypanosomatidae
Description: gene:LdHU3.27.3700(CDS-product:dynein_heavy_chain _putative)
Source: RNAcentral
UCUUAGUACCGGAAAGGAAGAAGAACGGAAGGGCACGCCUGAGUGGUGCACCGACACACGCACACACACAGAGGGAAAAGGUCUGCACUGCGCCGGCGCAACGUCCUAAGCCUUCCUGUCCAAAACGUUUGCGUUUGUGUCAGUUGUGCAUGACGCGCUGCUUUCAGAUCUUUUCUCCUCUUCUUCUCGCCCGGUUUGUCGUACGUGCGUCCGUCCCUUCGCGUAGGCGGCUACAGACAGACAGAGCGCCCGCCUCCUCUCUCUUCCACGUUUCCCCCAGCAGCUACCCGGUGCACACACACACACACACACAUACACACACCUCCCCUGUACGUAGAUCCCUCUUUCCUUGUCUUCUUCCCUCCUGUGCACACGCGUGCACGGCCGUGCUUUCUUCUGCUGCAUCAUCUCUCCCACCCGUGUGAAGAGAAGAGCUACCCCCCGCCACUUGCGUCGAUGAGCGUCUCUCCGAACCCUCCUCACGGGAACGGGCGGACAGCGGUGCUGUCGCCGCUGCCGUCUACCACUGCAGCAGCGGCCGCGGCAGACUACGUCAGUGCUGUUAGUGUGCAGUCGGAUGCGCACCGCGGAUUCGUCACCAGCCAGCGCCUACGGGACAUAGAGGCGCCGUUGAUGGAACACCUUGCCCAGAAGCGAUACGGACACUCUUCUGCCGGCGCCGAAGCUACAAUGGUCAAGUUGCAGCGUGUAGCCGGUCAUACCGCUGUGCCGGCGCCAUUGUCAGGAGUGCAGCAGCGCCGCGCCGACCCCGCCGCCCCACUGAGGAAGGUGCGUGUGCCUCGUGCCAUUCGACAACUACUUGACAUGCACACCAGCCUGGCGCUGAGCUCUGCUGUGUCGCCUCUUGCGACGCAGCAGCACGAAAUCUUGCCGCACCCCCCUGCAGCCACCAUCGUGUCCGCCACACCCGACUGCGCCGUGCAUGAGCGAGUCGGCCUUCUCUACCACCCUCUCGCUGCCGCGCGCACGGCGUACGCGGAGGCGGAGGUGCGGCCGUCCUGCGUUGGUGCCGGCGCGGCCACGGCUGCUGAUGCGACAACCGUCGUGCCUUUCGCCAUGGCCGCCACUGCCGCUGAGAACAAGACGUACUUCGCGCUCGCUGACUUCGACGCUGUUGACGAGGACCCGCGCACACCGGCGGAGUGGCUGGCCAUGGGUGAUAACGACGAAGGUGGUACGCCAGCUACGUCGCGCUUCUUCAAAACCACCGGUCCGGGCGGUGGCACGGUGGUGUGGCGAAAGUGCCGCGUGAGGGAGUACGAUGAGGCCAGGCAGCUCUUUUACGUGCAAUGGGCCGACGGCACGGGCCGAUGGACCCGCCGGCUGAACAUCCGUUUCGACGCCGAGGACGUGGAGCGGUGGGAGGCACGAGUGCGCCGGGCCGACGACUACCGUAGCGACACAGAGGCCGCCAUGCGCGAGGCGCUCUACAUCGAUUCGAUCCCGAAUGCGUGCGUUACGGCGAUGGAGGAGGCACAGAUGGAGCGGGUGCUGCGCAACGUGGCGACGCGAUUCCCCGUGGCCCAGCUGCACGUCAUCCAGCAGCGGACCGAGGAAGCGGAGGCUACGUACUACCGAGCCAUGAAGCUGGCGGUGCACACAUACACGAUGCGCGGCGCCGCAGAGCAGGAGCGGCUGCAGAUUGCCAACUUGCCGCGUGCCGGCGUCGCGGCCCAGCCCUCGCUGCGCGACCUGCGUGGCACCCUCGGCACGCCGUCGCCGAACUUCCUCGUCGCCCGCGCGUAUCUGGCGGAGAACUGCUUCCAGGUGCACGCGCUCAUCCAGGACACGCUGCACUCGCUGCACACGGUGUGGUUCAGCUACACCUCGCAGCUGCUUUGCGUGUCGCACUACGAAGCCCCAGCACUGCCGCUGCGGCUGCCCUUCUUCGUCUCCACGCAGGAGGAGCACGGCAUCGCAGUGGGUGAGCGGCUCAAGGGCGAGUGGACGUCAACUGUGCAGUCCACGGUGCAGAACAACCUCGAUGCGUACUUCAACUUCUACGACGACAACAUGGCGCGGUAUGAGGCCAGCCGGAUGUGCCGCUUCAUGCGCUUGGUGAACUGCAUGAUGCGCUCUCAGCUGCGCGAGCUCGCGAUGACGUCGCUUGAGUCGUACACUGCAUACCUUGAGAAGUAUGCCGUCGUGUGCACCAACGCCGCUGACUUCGACGACGCGGCGGCGGCGGCGAUGGUGGAGGUACUGCCGGAGGAUGUGGCAGAGCGGGCUUACUGGGCGGGGCGCAUUGCCCAGCUUGAGGCGCGUCAAGCCGCGGAGAAGGAGCGCAGGGCGGCGGAGCAGAAGGCUGCACCGAAGAAGCGGCACAGCGACACCGCCGCCGCAGGGGCGCCAAAGGACGAGGCAGAGGAAGCACCGCCUGAGCACCUCCUCUGGUGUCUCGGCACGCCGCCGUUGACAGAGCCGUUAACGCAGCGUGUUGUGCAGCUCAUCCAGCGCGUCAACGGGCUGCAGCCGCUCUUUUACACGAAGCUUGUGGUGGCGUCUCCCUUGCCGUCGAAGACGCCGACGCAGCGCUCCUCCCGGGACUCCGGCGCCGACGAGGGCGAUGCGGCGGAGUGUGCCAUUGCGCUGGACCCGCCGGUGGACGAAAUCGAGCGCUCCGUGCUGCGUGUGGUUGCUCGCUGCCUCGAGCACAGCAACGAGGUGGCGGCCAUGGGUGACCAGUUGUUCCCAUUACUGGAGAUGGCGCCAGCGUAUCUGCGUCCACUCGGCGCCGACGAGGCCGAGGUGGUCGCGGUGCAGGAGCGCGUGUUGGCAGUGCUUCGCGGCAACCGGGCCGCGCCUCUCCAGCUCGUGCAGAUGUACAGAGAAUUCGAAUACUUGGCUACGGCAAACGUGGAGGAGGCCGUCCAGGCGACGCUGGAGCACGUCGAGGCCCUUGAGGAGGUGGACCUCCUGCUGGAGCGGCUGAGCCGCGACCGCCGUCGUCUCGCGGAGCGCACGCCGAACACUGUCACCUUCGAGCUUUACGCAGUGGACUGCUGCGAGCUGAAGGCGGCGCUGACCGCCAGGGCAGUGCAGCUGCAGGAGGCGCUGCUGGAGGCAGUGGCCACGCGGCUCGCCGAGGAAUGCGCCGGCGUGCUCAGCGCGUACGAGGCCAUCAACGCCGAGCUCACCGUCGAGCCGACGACGCCGGAGGAGCUGCAAACGAUGCGGGCCGCCCUUGCCGCCGUGGCGGCGCGCGAGGCGGCAAUCCAAGUAAUCUUCCAACAUGUGACGGAAGGCAACGAGCUCCUGCUCCGCUACGGCUACCUCGUGCCGCAUGACGAGUUUGUGCACUACUGGGAGGCGUACGAGUGUCCCAAGAGACUGGCGCAGCUCGUGGAGGACCGCAACUUCCGCGCCAAGGAGUACCGCGCCGUCUUCAUCCAGCAGCUGCGCGAAAACAGCGAGCAGCAGGCAUACGCGAUCAUGCAGCUUGCCGCCAGCGUGGAGGACUUCACUCACCUUUGCGACGACGCGCGUGCGGAGGAGUACUACGAGCGGGCCCGCGCUAUCGAGGAGUCGAUUCAGUCCAGCAAGGCAUCUGUCGCCCUGUACGGGCGCCACGAGGAGCUGUUUGGGAUGACGGUCACGACGUAUCCGCAGCUGACGGAGAUACAGCAGCUUUUCGAGCCGUACUUUGCGCUGUGGGAAGUGGUUUACCAUUUCAACGCCGAGACGGAGCGCUGGAUGAGCACCAAGAUCGCGACGCUGAAUCCGAGAGACGUUGAUCAGAAGGUGUCGGACUGGACGAAGCGCGUGGCGGCGCUGUCGAGGAAGAUCAAGGAGCCGGAGGCGAUCGAGGUGGCACGGCAGCUGCGGGCGAACAUCGAGCAGUUCAAGCCCCUCGUGCCGCUGCUAUAUGCCCUGCGCAGCCACCUGCAGGCGGGCCACUGGCGCGCCAUUUAUCAGCAGUGCGGCAUCCCGCGUGAGCAGCAGGGCUUCGGCCCCGGCGGGGUCGACAACAAUGACCAGCGCACCCUCUCCGAUUUUGUGCAGCUGGGCAUGAUGGAUCACCUGACAUCGAUCGAGAGCGUCGCAUCGGUGGCGCAGAAAACGUACGAGUUGGAGUCGGAGCUGAUGAACAUGGUGACGGAGUGGAAGCGGCUGGUCUUCGAGAUGGAGCCGUACCAGGACACGUUCAAGCUCAAGGCGAACGAUGCUAUGCAGCUUACUUUGGACGAGCACAUUCUCAAGACUCAGUCGAUGCUGGGCAAGCCCACGGUGCGGCAGACUCCAGCCCUGCAGGCACGCGUCAGCCAGUGGUCUGACCAGCUGAACAACACGCAGAGCACCAUGGACGAGUGGUUCCGCUGCCAGAGCACGUGGUCCUACCUGGAGCCGAUCUUCGUCUCCGCCGACAUCUCACGUAGUCUGCCGGCGGAAAAAAAGAUGUUCGUGGAGAUUGAUGAGACGUGGCAUGCCGUCAUGGCCCGCACCCGCGCCACCCCCCAGAUCAUUACCCGCUGCCAGGACGACAGCCUCUACAAGACCCUCAGCAGCGCCAACACGAAUCUCGAGGAGAUCUUGCGCAAGCUGCAGCAGUUCCUCGAGACGAAGCGUAUGGCGUUUCCGCGCUUCUACUUUAUUUCAAACGAGGAGCUGCUGCAGAUCCUGUCCGACAGUCGCGACCCGUAUCUCGUGCAGCCGUACCUGUGCAAGUGCUUCGAGGGCAUCAAGACGCUGACCUUCGCCGACCACCACGACAUGGUCGGCAUGGAGUCGGCGGAGGGCGAGCGGGUGCUCUUUGUACGCACCGUCAACCCCAGUGACCACCACAACCAGGUGGAGCUGUGGCUGCAGGCCGUGGAGAACGUCAUGAAGGCGACGAUACGCGAUCAGCUGCAGCAGGCCAUCGGUGACUACACGCAGCGCAAGCGGACGGAUUUUAUCCGGGCGUGGCCGGGGCAGGUCGUCAUCGCUGUUUGCUGCUUUUUUUGGACAAUGGAGGCGACGCAGGCGAUGACGGCGGAUGGCACGGUGGGGCUGACGACCUACUAUGAGAAGUGCGCGCGGCAGCUGGACGACUUGAUCCUGCUCGUGCGUGACAGCGGCCUCGGCAACGUGGCGCGGUGCACCCUUGAGGCGCUUGUCGUCAUUGAGGUGCACGCCAAAGACAUUCUGCGCAUGCUUGGCGAGAAGGGCGUCGAAUCGCCGUCGAGCUUCGACUGGCUAGCGCAGCUGCGGUACUACUGGGAGGGCGAGGAGGACAAUCAACAGCUGACAGUGCAGCAGAUCAACGCCUCGCUGCGAUACGGCUACGAAUACCUUGGCAACACGGGUCGCCUCGUCAUCACACCGCUGACGGAUCGGUGCUACCGCACACUCAUCGGGGCGCUGCAUCUGAACUACGGCGGUGCGCCGGAGGGGCCGGCCGGCACCGGUAAGACAGAGACCACGAAGGACCUCGCCAAGGCGCUAGGCAAGUAUUGCGUCGUGUACAACUGCUCCGACCAGAUCUCGGCCAAGGAUAUGGCGAAGUUGUUCAAGGGGCUGACACAGGCCGGCGCGUGGGGCUGCUUCGAUGAGUUCAACCGUAUCGAGAUCCAGGUGCUGUCAGUGAUUGCGCAGCAGAUCGCGACGAUCCAGGAGGCAAUCAUCCAGAAACGGCCUGAGUUCAUCUUCGAAGGGGCGCAGAUCCGGCUGGACAGCGGGUGCGCUGUGUUCGUGACGAUGAACCCCGGCUACGCCGGCCGUGCGGAGCUGCCGGACAAUCUGAAGGCGCUCUUCCGGCCUGUGGCGAUGAUGGUGCCGAACUACGCCAUGAUCGGUGAGAUUCAGCUCUACUCAUACGGCUUCCUGCACGGCAAGGUCCUCUCGGAGAAGAUUGUGGCGACGUACCGGCUGUGCUCGGAACAGCUCUCCUCGCAGGACCACUACGACUACGGCAUGCGCGCGGUGAAGGCGGUGCUGACGGCGGCGGGGCGGCUGAAGCGGGCGUACCCGAUGGAGGAUGAGAUGGUGCUCAUGCUGCGCUCCAUCCAGGACGUCAACCUGCCGAAGUUUCUGUCGCAGGAUGUGGAGUUGUUCAGGGGCAUCGUAUCGGACCUCUUCCCGGGGGUGCAGCUGCCGGUACCGGACUACGACGACAUGCACAACGCCCUCGUCACCGUCGCCACGCAGGACAACCUGCAGCUAACCACGUACUUCGAGGAGAAGAUCUGCCAGACGUACGAGAUGAUCUGCGUGCGCCACGGUAUGAUGCUGGUCGGCUACUCGUACGGAGGCAAGACAAAGGGGUUGCGGUCGCUCGCUGCCGCACUGGAGGUGAUGGAGCAGACGAACAAGUCGGAGCACCGCGCUCGCAUGGUCAUCAUUAACCCCAAGUCCGUCACCAUGGCGCAGCUGUACGGCAAAGUCGAGCUCUCAGGUGAGUGGACGGACGGCAUCCUUUCAAGCCGAUUUCGCGAACUCGCACAGGACACGUCGGAGGACCGCGUGUGGCUUGUGCUGGACGGUCCGGUGGACGCGGUGUGGAUCGAGAACAUGAACACAGUGCUGGACGACAACAAGAAGCUGUGCCUGCAAAACGGCGACAUCAUUCCAAUGCCGAAGCGGAUGAACUUGAUCUUCGAGGUACAGGACCUGGCGCACGCGUCCCCCGCCACGGUGUCGCGGUGCGGUAUGGUGUAUGUCGAGCCGCAGUCGCUGGGCUGGGCCUGCCUGCUGGAGUCGUUCUUCAACACGCUGCCGCCGUUUAUGACAGAGACGCCGCAGCUGGCUGACACGCUGCGCUCCCUGAUCGACGCCAUCAUGGCCGACAUGCUCGAGGUGACGCGCAAGCGCGCCCGCUCGAUUGUGCCGCAGAGCGCGAACACGCUGGUGGCGGGCUGCGUGAGGCUGCUCUCAUGUUUCAUUCACGGCUUCGACGAGGAGGCGGCGAUAGCGCAGGCCGGCGGUGAUGAGCGGGUGCACAUGCGCAACAUGGUCAUGCGGGUGGAGGGGUGGUUUCUCUUCUCGCUGGUGUGGUCCGUCGGUGGGUGCCUGGAGCACAAGGAUCGUGAGAUAUUCAGCGCCGCCCUGCACAAACUCCUCGCGGCCCUGCCAGAGCGCGACGGGUGUCGGCACACCUUCACGCUGGCGUUGCCAGAGGCGACGACGUCGUUUUACGAGGUCCGCUUCGAGGACGGCGCGGAGGUGCGCUUGAUGAGCUGGGCCGAUAUGAUGCCCGAGUUGACGAUACAGGCGGAGAGCGAGUACCAGGACAUUAUCGUGCCAACGACGGAGACGGUCAAGUACUCCUUCCUCAUGGGGCUCAUGCUGCGCCACAUGCACCCGGCGCUGCUCGUCGGCGACACCGGCACCGGCAAGACCAUCAUGAUGAAGGCGCUGCUGCGCGGCCUGCCGAAAGACGGCUACUCUGUCAACUUAAUCCAAUUUUCCGCGCAGACCUCCGCCGGCCACCUGCAGCGCCUCAUCGACAGCAACUGCGAGAAGCGCCGAAAGGGGUUCUACGGGCCGCCAAUCAACAAGAAGAUGAUCAUCUUCAUCGAUGACGCCAACCUGCCUCAGCUUGAGGAGUACGGUGCGCAGCCGCCCAUCGAGCUGCUCCGGCAGUACCUCGACCACGGCGGCUGGUACCAGCACAGUAAGGACGGUGUCGAGUUCCGUCACUUGGUGGAUGCGCUGCUCCUGUGCGCUAUGGGGCCGGCGGGCGGCGGCCGAAACGACAUCACGCAGCGCUUUAGCCGUCACUUCAACGUCUUCAGCGUACCAUCCUUCAACGAGUCGACGCUGAAGACGUUGUUUGGGCGCCUAUCGGAGUGGAUCUUCUCCCGCAACUUCCCGAGCGCGCUGCGCGGCAUGAGUGCGCCGCUGGUGGCCGCUACGGUGGAGCUGUACACGAUCCUAGUCGACAACCUCAAACCCUCGCCGGAGCGUUCGCACUACACCUUCAACCUGCGCGACGUGAGCAAGGUGUUCCAGGGCAUGGACAUGACCUACGCCCCAGGCAUCAAGGAUGAGAUGUGCCUGGCGCAGCUGUGGAUGCACGAGGUGUCGCGCGCCUUCGCGGAUCGCUUCAUCGACGACGCCGACACGCACUGGUUCCAUGAACAGGCAAGCCGGACGUGCCUAAAGCACCUCAAGUUGAAUGUCCGCCCGACCAUGGAGGACGGCAGCCCCCUCCUCUUCUCCUCUCUUGCCAACGAUGACGGACGCUACGAGCAGCUCACCGACAUCGCCCACGCUCGCUCGACACUGGAGCGAAAGCAGGAGCUCUACAAGGCCGCCACCCGCAGCGGUGAGCUGAACCUUGUCAUCUUCAACUACGUGCUUGAGCAUGUCGCCCGCAUCAGCCGUGUCCUGCAUCAGCCCGGCGGCCACCUGUUGCUGGUCGGCGUCGGGGGCAGCGGCCGUCGCAGCUGCGCCCGCCUCGGCGCCUUCAUCCAGGAGUGCGACUACCGCACGACGACGCCGACAAAGGACUACGACCACAGCGACUUCCUUGACGACAUCCGCCAACUCCUCCUGCAGACGGGGCAGAAAGGGUACUCGACGGCGUUCGUGCUGGCCGACUCGCAGAUCAUCUCCGAGGCGUUCCUGGAGGACAUCUGCAGCCUGCUGAACACCGGCGAAAUCCCUGGUCUGUGGGACACAAAGCAGGACCGCGAGGUCUACGAUAACGCCGUCGCCUCGCUGCGCGACGUUGGCCGCGCGCUCGGGCGACCCGACACGACGGAGGCGCUGCAGGAGCUUUUCGCCGAGCGGUGCCGGAAGCACCUACACGUGGUGCUGUGCUUCUCGCCGCUUGGCUCGAUGCUGCGCGAGCGGCUGCGCAAGUUUCCUUCCCUCGUGAACUGCACGACGAUCGACUGGUUCCGGGACUGGCCAGAGGACGGCCUCCGCUCUGUCGCCGCGCGCUUUCUCGACGAUGUCGACCUCACGGAGGAGGAGCGGACGUCUAUUCGGCAGAUCUUCGUGCAGUACCAGCAACAGGUGCGCGAACUCAGCGUGAAGUACCGCGCCGAGGCGCGGCAGCAGACCUAUGUCACCCCCACGUCCUAUCUCGACCUCCUCUCCACAUUCGGCCGGAUGCUGGCGCGUAAGCGGCACGAUCUGACUUCGCAGCGAGACCGCUACGUGAAUGGGCUGCGUCAGCUGAAGAAGACGGAGGACCAGGUUGAGGUGAUGCAGCAGGAGCUGGCGCUGCUAAAGCCAGAGCUGGCCACAAAGCAGGCGGAGACGAGUGAGCUCAUUCGCCGGGUGGAGGAGGAGAGCAAGGCUGCGGAGGAGCAGAAGGCUAUCGUGGCGGUGGACGAGGCGGCGGCGAACGCGCAGGCGGCGGCGGCGAAGAAGAUCAAGGAUGCCUCGCAGGAGAAGGUCGACGAGGCGCAGCCGCUGGUGGAGCAGGCACAGCGGGCCGUGCUGGACCUCGAUCCGAAGGCACUGCAGGAGGUGAAGGCACUCAAGACGCCGCCGAAGGGUGUGAAGUAUGUGAUUGAGGUGCUGUGUACGCUGCUCGGCGGUGUCUACAAGCCGAAGCCGAUCCGCGACGCGCUUACCGGCAAGACGAGCGUGCCCUACUGGGAGCACGCGAAGGUGACCCUGCUGACGGCCGACUUCAAGAACACGCUGCUCAACGCGUACUCGGACAUCGUCGACAACGCGCCAGACGCGCAAAUCGAGGAGGUAAAGAAGAAGAUGACGGACGAGAUGUUCAAGAUGGAGAACAUCCGCAAGACCAGCGUGGCGCUCGUCGGCGUCGCGACGUACAUCAAGGCUGUGGUAGAGUACUACAAGCAGAACAAGGUGAUCAAGCCACUGCUAGCGCAGGCGGCGGCGGCGCAGGCCGAGUACGACGAGGCGAUGAUCGGGCUGCAUGCCAAGAAGGAGGAGCUGCGCAUCAUCACGGAGAAGCUGCAGGCACUGACGGAUCACCUCGACGGGGUGAACCGGUCCAAGCAGGAGCUCGAGAACCGCAUCCGCGACACGGACACGAAGCUGACGCGUGCGAAGAAACUGAUCGAGGGCCUCGGCGGCGAGAAGGCGCGCUUCGCACACGAGUCUAAGCGCUACGAAGAGGAGCUCUUGUACGUUGUUGGCAACGUCGUCGUCAGCGCUGGCAUCGUCGCGUACAUGGGGCCGUUCCUGCACAACUACCGCAUGCAGAUCAUCGCUAAGUGGCGCGACAUGUGCGAGGCGCAGCAGCUGCGCGUGUCGGCCGACUACACCUUCGAGAAGUUCUGCGGCAACUCGAUUCACAUUCAGGAGUGGAAGCUGCAGCAGCUGCCCUCCGACCCUUUUUCCGUCGACAACGCCGUUAUCCUGAGCAACUCGAAUCGGUGGCCGCUGAUGGUGGACCCACAGCAGCAGGCAAACCGCUGGAUCCGCAGCCGCGAGCGCGACAACGGCCUCGUCGUCGUGCGCCUCUUUGAGAAGGACUACCUGCGCACGAUCCGGCAGGCCAUAAUGGCCGGCAGCCCGGUGCUGCUGGAGAACGUUGAGGAGACGCUCGAUCCGAUGCUGGAGAACUUGCUGCUGAAGCGGAUCACCAAGGAAGGGUCGAUGUGGGUCAUGCACCUCGGUGAGGCGGUGGAGUGGAAUCAGAAGUUCCGCUUCUACAUAACGACGAAGCUGCCGCGGCCGCACUACCUACCGGAGGUGAGUGCGAAGGUGACUCUCAUCAACUUCCGCAUCACCGAGCAGGGCUUGCAGGACCAGCUGCUGCAGCGCGUCAUGUUGUCUGAGCGGCGCGAAGUGGAGGAGAAGAAGCAGGCGCUAACGCUGGAGGCCGCGGCCAACCAGGCCGGCCUCAAGGCGACGGAGGACCGCAUCCUCGCCAUAUUGUCCACCGAGGGCAACAUCCUUGAGAGCGAAGCGGCCAUCGAGGAGCUCGACAGAUCGAAGGAGCAGAGCGACCGCAUCGAGAAGCGGCAGGAGGAGAUCGACGCGAUGGAGCGCAUCAGCGACCGCACGCGCAACCUCUUCGUGCCGGUGGCGCACCUCGGCGCCAUCCUCUUCUUCUGCGUCACUGAGCUGGCAAACAUCGACCCCAUGUACCAGCACUCGCUCCAGUCGUACAUGGUCAUAUUUCAGGAGGCGCUGGCGAGCAGCGCCAGGUCGAGCGAGGUGGAGGAGCGCACGGAUGCGAUCAACACCACCUUCAAGCGAAGUCUGUACCAGCGUAUCUGCCGCGCCCUCUUCGCGCGCGACCAGCUCCUCUUCUCCUUCAUUAUGUCACUGAAGAUGUUCGCCGUGGACGCGGUGCUGCUGCGCUGGCUGCUGACCGGCGGUACCGAGGAGGACGAACGCGCCACUGCCGUGGCGAAUCCUUUCACAUGGAUGCCAGAGCUGAGUUGGCGGCUGCUACAGCGGGCGAGCACGCAGCUGGCCGGCUUUGAGAACCUCAUCGAGGAUGUGCGGCAGCACGAGAUGUUCUUCGUGGACUACUACGAAUCGUCGAGCCCGCUGGAGCUAAAGCUGCCCGGGGAGCUGCAGAGCAUGCCGAGCAUCGCGAAGAUGGUGCUGGUGCGGUGCCUGCGCAUGGACAAGGUAGUUCCCGCCAUCCGCGCGUACGUUUGCGAGACGCUGGGCGAGUUCUUUGUGGAGCCGCCGCUCUACGCGCUGGAGACGGUCGUGGAGGAGCUUGCUUACGACCCGUCUGUGCCGAUCAUUCUCGUGCUUUCGCCUGGCGCCGAUCCCAACGCCGAGCUCGACCGCGUCGCCGAGCUGCGAGGCAUGUUUCCGAACAGGCUCUUCAAGCUGUCCCUUGGCCAGGGCCAGAACGUGCCGGCCUGCGCCCUCAUCGAAGCGGGUACGAAGAGCGGCCACUGGGUGCUCCUGCAGAACUGCCACCUCUACGCCGACUUCAUGCCACAGCUGUCGCGCAUGAUCGAGGACUACAGCGACGUUGCGGCAAAGGAGCGGCUGCACCGCGACUACCGGCUGUGGCUGACAUCUCUGCCGAGUGAGGUGUUCCCGAUCGUGAUUCUGCAGAACGGCGUCAAGCUCGUGCAGGAGCCACCGAAGGGGCUCAAGAGCAACCUCAUGCAGUCGUACCUCUCCGACCCCGUGGCGGACGCCGAGUUCUUUGGGGCCGCCCGCACGCCGGAGGCGUGGCACAAACUGCUCUUCGGGCUGUGCUUCUUCCACGCUGUGGUGCAGGAGCGUCGGCAAUACGGCCCUCUCGGCUGGAGCCGCCCGUACGAGUUCAACGACACGGAUCGCCGCAUCAGCGUGCGCCAGUUGCAGAUGCUUCUGGAUGAGAAUGAGCUCGUGCCGUAUGAGGCGCUUCUGUACCUCAUCGGCGAGUGCAACUACGGCGGACGUGUGACAGAUGACUGGGACCGGCGUUGCCUGCUGGCCACGCUCGAGGUGUACCUCACUCCGUCCAUCCUGGAGGACAACUACGUCUUCUUCGACGACGCGCAGGAGUAUUUUGCGCCGCCGUUUGGUGAGUACAGCACCUACCUCGCCUACAUCCAGUCCCUGCCGGCGCAGCAGCCCCCCACUGUCUUCGGUUUGCAUGAAAACGCCGAUAUCACAAAGGACGAACGGGACGCCCGCUUCCUGCUCGACGCCACCCUCAGCACGCAGCCGCGCGACGCGGCACCGGCGGCCGACAGCGGCAGCGGUGGUGGCAACAAGGCAGAUCCGAAGACGAUUGUGAAGACGCUGGCCGCAGAUGUGCUGCACCGCCUGCCGCCGCUCUUCGACAUCGAGGCCAUCCAGGCCCGCUACCCGAUCGACUACGCCCAGUCCAUGAACACGGUGUUGCUGCAGGAGGCGAUACGCUACAACCGUCUCCUCGCCGUCGUGCGCGCCUCGCUGGCGGACGUGCAAGACGCCAUCAGCGGCAAGGUGGUGAUGAGCAGCGAGCUGGAGCAGGUGUUUAUGAGCAUGUACGACGGCAAAGUGCCGGAGGUGUGGAAGCGCCGUUCCUACCCGUCGCUGAAGCCGUUCGGUGCGUACGUCAGUGACCUCAUCGCGCGCCUUCAGUUCCUGCGCACAUGGUACGAGGCGGGGCCGCCGCCGUUGUACUGGCUGAGUGGCUUCUUCUUCACACAGUCUUUCCUCACGGGUGUGACGCAGAACUACGCCCGCAAGCACAAGAUCGAGAUCGACAAGCUUAUCUGGGAAUUCACGGUCAUGCCGGCGCCGGCAGAGACCUUCACCGAGACCCCGGAGGAUGGCUGCUACGUGCACGGACUCUUUCUCGAAGGGGCUGGCUGGUCGUACGACGACGGUGUCCUCGCGGAGAGCAAGCCGAAAGAAUUGUAUGUCCCCUUUCCAGUGCUGAGGCUGUCGCCCGCGCUGCCGGAGAAGGUGGCGCAGUGCCCCAUCUACCACUGCCCCUGCUACAAGACGACCGACCGCCGCGGCGUGCUCUCGACGACGGGGCACUCGACCAACUUUAUCCUUACCGUAAACCUCCCCCGCGACGCGCAUGAGUCGGAGAACCACUGGGUACUGCGCGGCACGGCGCUCUUCACGCAACUCGAGUACUAGACGACGCCGUCGUGUGUGUGUGUGUGUGUGUGUGUGUGUGUGUGUGUAAGCCAAGCAAGCAGACACAUGCACCGUUCUUCCGAUUUUUUUUUCCUUCAUCUUCUUCGAUGCACGGGGAAGUAUGAUGAGGCGCCUCCCCCUCCCCUCCCACACGCACAGAUCAGCGCAUGCUGGUGAAUGCGCACAUGAGUCUUUAGAUGUAUGAUGUAUCCAUGGGUGGAUCCUGUUUUUGACUUCCCCCCUCGGCCACUCUCGCUGUGUGAGUGGAGCCGUGCGGUGAGCGAUGUAUCAUAACUGGGAGGGAGUGCAAGCAACGGCGUCGACCGUCUCUGCAGUUGAAACG